GCCCUAUAUUCAAAGUGUCCUUCGGGACUAUGGACAUAAACGCGCUCGUAAUACGCGGAUCGGACCCGGGGGCGGUACCCGGCGUCUCCACCAAACAUCCUUCAUUUGGGGAUCAUGGGGACGAAACAGGAUCGACGAACGUCUAAAAGGGUUUGCUUUGUUUCGGCUGUCUGCCACCGUUAUCGGCGAAAACUGUACAAUUGCAAAUGACAAUCGUGCUCCGAUGGCAGUUGCAGCGUAAGCUGUAACCAACAUCGAAACUUAAGUCCUUGCGCCUAGCAGUGUAAGGCGGGGUUCGCAGGCACCUGGCAACAGAAGCCUGCACUUUCCUC
RNAcentral lists this transfer-messenger RNA (332 nucleotides) under Pseudosulfitobacter sp. DSM 107133. RNAcentral's name for it is "transfer-messenger RNA, SsrA". It matches the Rfam family "Alphaproteobacteria transfer-messenger RNA". From Rfam's summary of the family: Bacterial tmRNA, also known as 10Sa RNA or SsrA, is named for its dual tRNA and mRNA-like properties. Its role is to liberate the mRNA from a stalled ribosome. Lineage: Bacteria; Pseudomonadati; Pseudomonadota; Alphaproteobacteria; Rhodobacterales; Roseobacteraceae. The record is from RNAcentral.